ACAGCAGUCGCCACGGUAAUACGUAGGUCCCGAGCGUUGUCCGGAUUUAUUGGGCGUAAAGGGAGCGCAGGCGGUUUAGUAAGUCUGGAGUUAAAGGCAUUGGCUCAACCAAUGUAUGCUUUGGAAACUGUUUGACUUGAGUGCAGAAGGGGAGAGUGGAAUUCCAUGUGUAGCGGAGAAAUGCGUAGAUAUAUGGAGGAACACCGGUGGCGAAAGCGGCUCUCUGGUCUGUCACUGACGCUGAGGCUCGAAAGCGUGGGUAGCGAACAGGAUUAGAUACCCCAGUAGUCCCUGUCUCUUAUACA
Molecule: ribosomal RNA, 305 nt
Filed under: uncultured bacterium
Lineage: Bacteria
Description: partial 16S ribosomal RNA
Rfam family: Bacterial small subunit ribosomal RNA
Source: RNAcentral